This 253-nucleotide ribosomal RNA is filed under the name uncultured bacterium. RNAcentral describes it as "partial 16S ribosomal RNA". It matches the Rfam family "Bacterial small subunit ribosomal RNA", at positions 524 to 776 of the family's 1533-position model. The record is from RNAcentral.
UACGGAGGGUGCAAGCGUUAUCCGGAUUCACUGGGCUUAAAGGGUGCGUAGGUGGGCAGGUAAGUCCGUGGUGAAAUCUCUGAGCUUAACUCAGAAACUGCCGUGGAUACUAUCUGUCUUGAAUAUUGUGGAGGUAAGCGGAAUAUGUCAUGUAGCGGUGAAAUGCUUAGAUAUGACAUAGAACACCAAUUGCGAAGGCAGCUUACUACACAGUAAUUGACGCUGAGGCACGAAAGCGUGGGGAUCAAACAGG